This 119-nucleotide ribosomal RNA is filed under the name Seriola lalandi dorsalis. Lineage: Eukaryota; Metazoa; Chordata; Actinopteri; Carangiformes; Carangidae. The record is from RNAcentral.
GCUUACGGCCAUACCACUCUGAACGCGCCCGAUCUCGUCAGAUCUCGGAAGCCAAGCAGGGUCGGGCCUGGUUAGUACUUGGAUGGGAGACCGCCUGGGAAUACCAGGUGCAGUAAGCU